CUGCUACUGCUAUAUACCCCCCUCUGUUCUUCAUCUGCUACUCAAUUUUCAGAAUUUCCCAAUUGAAACCAAGAAAAAGCUUUAGGCUAUGGAAUUCAUCCCCUCAAAAUCUAACCAAAACCAAAGGCUUCCUCCUAAAAGAGGACAGAUCAAGAUGAAGAUAUUCAAAUCUCUUGUAAGAUCAGCCGUUGCAUUUGUAUCAGAAGGCAGUAAGUCAAGAAGCUCAAAUUCCACGACCCCACAUCAGACUCCAAGCUGCUGCAACUCCGGGAGUAAUUCUGAUGGAUGAAAUGCUUCCUCUUCUCAGUUUUGUUUAAAUUAAAAUUUAUUUGUACGGUAGAGGGAGUUUAUGAAUAUUUAUGAAUUUUCUUCGGGGAGACUUUGGGAAGUGCAGAACCAUUGUGUUUCUUGUGUCUUUUAUCUUAAGGCACAACAAUCCCAAUUGUACUGAGUUUCCAUUAUACAAGUCAUUUACAGUCAGGUUCACUUUUGAAACUGAUCUUAAAUAUAUAGUUCUUGUUCUUGUUCUUACUUCAAACUUCUUAUUCAUUGUUGUUUGUUGACUUCAAAAUCCGAUAGAUUGACUCGAGCAGCCAACAUUUUCCGAUCACCUUUUUAUCCGCUUAUUAUACGUCUAACACUACAUUAGAGAGGCAAAGGUCAA
Molecule: long non-coding RNA, 664 nt
Filed under: Olea europaea subsp. europaea
Lineage: Eukaryota; Viridiplantae; Streptophyta; Magnoliopsida; Lamiales; Oleaceae
Source: RNAcentral